Molecule: long non-coding RNA, 520 nt
Organism: Physella acuta
Lineage: Eukaryota; Metazoa; Mollusca; Gastropoda; Physidae
Source: RefSeq, a predicted model, not a curated record
CACGCCGUUGUGGUUACCGAUCGUCUCACAGCGACGAUUUGUACAGCCAGCGAUUGCGAGGUAGAGUUGUCGGUCCUUUGACGGAGUAGCCGGUCCUUGUGCAGAGUUGUCGUUUAUAGUUCGUUUCAUGGUUUGAGAUUCUCAUUGAAUGACGUUAUAUUGAUACGUUUAUUAUAGACUAGCAGAAUAUUAGUUUAUUUCUCCAUACGUAAAGAAAGUCCAUAUAGUAUAGGACAGAGACCUAAAACAAUACUUAUAUUUUACAGGUACGGAAGUCCGUUUACUAUAGAACAACGACCUCAAACACAUUUAUAUCAGUAUUUUACAGGUCAGGACCGUCCGUUUACUAUAGAACUGUAACCUAAAGCACAAUGAAAAUUUUCUUUCUCCUGAUCGUCUGCUUAGCCGCAUCUCAUGCUCUACCCGAAGGAGGAUGCUAUUUGGCACGAUGGCGGCUGUUAGUUUUAAGGACCCAGGGGCCGUACGCGGCGCCUAUGCGGUAGUAUAAUCGGGGGGGGGG